GAAUCAUGAGUGAGAGGCUCUGGGAACACCAAGUCCACACUACUCUACUUACAAGUCCUAAACUGCCUAGUGGGAUCCAACGCUGACCCCAGUGGAGUUCUUUACCCAUGACUGGUGUCCUCAGGAAUGUGUCUGUGGGAAGAAAAGUCUCAAAUGCUGGGGAAUGGAGCCAUCGAUAAUUUCUUUCCUAUGUUGGAGUGCAAGAGAGCCCCUAAGGCUGGAGCACUCCCCAAGUAAGCAGGCAGAGACAGAGACCUGAGUCCUACUGCUGAGUCAUUUAAAUCUGCUUUAGAUCGGGUUUUCCCAGGGCAUGGAAAGGACAGGGCUCCCAGUGGAGAUAUCAUGUAGCUAUAGGGCCUAGAAGUAUUUUUUCAGUAGAUGAAAUUUAGAAAUAAUUUGAAUAUUUUAUGCUGGGGAGGUAGCUUGUGGAGUGAAAUGGUCGGGUAAAGGAAACACUGAGUUCAAGUGCUUCUUUAUAAAGGACACUUAACUGAUCUAAAUAUUUGUCAAGCUGAAUCGCUACAUCCACUCUCACCUGCCUGAAAUCAAUAUGCUCAAGUCAAACGCAUUUGCCUGCAUCUGAAUGUGGAGAAUGAACUUCUUAAAGCUGAACUGGCAGCUGGAAGGGGAGAGAGAAGAGCUGGACAGGGAGCCAGGACACCGGAGUUCUUUUCCACUGUGGUGGGAUCUGGAAGAAGCUGUUGAAUCUCUGUAGAGUUAGCUUUUAAAUGCUGUGAGUCUUUGGAAAGCUGUGCGAAUAACUGCUAAACACCCAGGACAGCUUAUGCAUUUUUUGAAAAAGGUUCCUGGUGCUGGUUCCAGCAGAAUAGACACAGAGAUGCAUGGCCUAACUCCCACUCCCUCUUCAGGACUGAGCCACGCAGCCCCCCAUCUGCCAGAAGUGUUAGCUGUUGACGGCUCACAGCUGAGUCCCUCUCCAGGCAUUGCUGAAAAGAGCCACCUUGCUCUAGGAUGUGCCCCCACCCUGGGGGCAGCAUACAUUCCAAGUGAUUAGUCCAUAGUGUGGUACAAAGGUUGUACCCAUCUUGCCUGAAUUCAGGAUCUCUUGGAAAACCACCCCAGCUCUGCAGCUCCUGGUGGGGUGCUGAGGCCUCUGCUGCAGCUGCAUCGCAGUUUACUUUCCCCUCUGCCUAGUCCUGCUGCCUUCACUCCCCAACAGAUCACCCGCUCUGAACAUGCCAUCUACUGUGGAAAUCUUCAAUCUUUAAUUAAUUUUUCCUGUUACAGGAAGAUUAAGUCUAAAAGGGUAUCUCCCCUAGUUGAUCCAGAACUAAAUAACAUUGUUUUCAGUACUUCCAGUAACUUGCUUACACUCUUACUUCUAAAGCAUUGAAUGUAUCAUCUUAUGUGCUUGUCACCCCCAGCUUGUGUCAUAGGAGAAAGUAUACGGAGAUCAGGUACAACUUCAGUUCAACAGCUUAUGAGCUAUUGGAUCAGUCUCCUUAUUAAUCUCUCAGAGCCUCAAUUUCCUUGUUUAAAAUGGGGGCAAUACCUACCUUAAGGAAUUUCUUGAGGAUCAAAAGAAACCCUAGUAACAAAGCCUUGAACCAUGUCUGACUUAUAGUAUAUAUUCUAA
This is a long non-coding RNA of Homo sapiens (human), 1597 nucleotides long. Ensembl annotates it as myocardin-induced smooth muscle lncRNA, inducer of differentiation. Its record names the gene MYOSLID. The record is from Ensembl. Lineage: Eukaryota; Metazoa; Chordata; Mammalia; Primates; Hominidae.